This 497-nucleotide ribosomal RNA is filed under the name uncultured bacterium. RNAcentral describes it as "partial 16S ribosomal RNA". It matches the Rfam family "Bacterial small subunit ribosomal RNA", at positions 28 to 507 of the family's 1533-position model. The record is from RNAcentral.
GAUGAACGCUGGCGGCGUGCCUAAUACAUGCAAGUCGAGCGAACAGACCCGGCUCUUGCUCCUCUGACGUUAGCCGCGCACGUGUGAGUCACACGUGUAUCACCCCCCUAUCUUUCUGGGAUCACUUCGGGAAUCCGGAUCUAAUACCGUAUAAUAUAUUGCACCACAUUGUUCAUUGGUAAAUGUCGGUUUUGCUGUCACUUAUAGCUGCUUCCGCGCCGCAUUAGGUAGUUGGUAAGGUAACGGCUUAGCAAGGCAACGAUGCCUAGCCGAACUGAGAGGGUGAUAGGCCACACUGGAACGGAGCCGCGGUCCAGACGACUGAGAGAGGCAGCAGUAGGGAAUCGUCCGCAAUAGGCGAGAGCAUGACGGAGCAGGGCGGAGUCAGUGAUGAAGGUCUUCGGAUCGUAAAGCUGUGUUAUUAGUGAAGAACAGAUGUGUAAGGAACUGUGGACGUCUUGACGGUACCUAAUCAGAAAGCAACGGCUAACUACGUG